This 466-nucleotide ribosomal RNA is filed under the name Beauveria bassiana. RNAcentral describes it as "SSU rRNA". It matches the Rfam family "Eukaryotic small subunit ribosomal RNA", at positions 586 to 1058 of the family's 1831-position model. Lineage: Eukaryota; Fungi; Ascomycota; Sordariomycetes; Hypocreales; Cordycipitaceae. The record is from RNAcentral.
CCGCUGCAAUAGCGUAUAUUAAAGUUGUUGUGGUUAAAAGCUCGUAGUUGAACCUUGGGCCUGGCUGGCCGGUCCGCCUCACCGCGUGUACUGGUCCGGCCGGGCCUUUCCCUCUGUGGAACCUCAUGCCCUUCACUGGGUGUGGCGGGGAAACAGGACUUUUACUUUGAAAAAAUUAGAGUGCUCCAGGCAGGCCUAUGCUCGAAUACAUUAGCAUGGAAUAAUAAAAUAGGACGCGUGGUUCUAUUUUGUUGGUUUCUAGGACCGCCGUAAUGAUUAAUAGGGACAGUCGGGGGCAUCAGUAUUCAAUUGUCAGAGGUGAAAUUCUUAGAUUUAUUGAAGACUAACUACUGCGAAAGCAUUUGCCAAGGAUGUUUUCAUUAAUCAGGAACGAAAGUUAGGGGAUCGAAGACGAUCAGAUACCGUCGUAGUCUUAACCAUAAACUAUGCCGACUAAGGGAUCGGA